CAUGGCCUUUUGAUUAUAAUUUAAGGUCUAAUCUGCCCACUGAGUAUUUAAAUGGCCGCGGUAUCUUGACCGUGCAAAGGUAGCAUAAUAAUUAGUUUCUUAAUUAGAAGCUGGAAUGAAAGAUUGAAUGAGAAAAUAACUGUCUCAAUUUAAUUUAAUUAGAAUUUUAUUUUUAAGUUAAAAAGCUUAAAUAUUUUUAAAAGACGAGAAGACCCUAUAGAGUUUUAUUUAAUUUUUAAUUAAAAAAAUAUAGUUUAAAUUAUUUUUUAAUUUAAAAUUAAAUUUUGUUGGGGUGAUAAAAAAAUUUAAUUAACUUUUUUUAAAUUUUAACAUUAAUUAAUGGCUAAUUGAUCCAAAAUUUUUGAUUAAAAGAUAAAAUUACCUUAGGGAUAACAGCGUAAUUUUUUUUAAGAGUUCUUAUCGAAAAAAAAGAUUGCGACCUCGAUGUUGGAUUAAAGUUUAAUUUUGGUGUAGAAGCUAAAUAUUUAGGUCUGUUCGACCUUUAAAACUUU
Molecule: ribosomal RNA, 512 nt
Filed under: Thanasimus formicarius
Lineage: Eukaryota; Metazoa; Arthropoda; Insecta; Coleoptera; Cleridae
Description: partial 16S ribosomal RNA
Rfam family: Bacterial large subunit ribosomal RNA
Source: RNAcentral